AAAGCUGCAGUCUGACUCUAGGACACCUGAUUUCUGAGUUUCUGCUCUCCAGGCACUAGAUUAGAUCCAAAGGCCUUGCUGAGAUUACACAUGCAUGUGCACACAAUUAUUAUCGGAAUGCAGUGUGGCUCAGUUGAUUAGAAUGUUUAGUCCUUACUAAUUCUAGGAACAGCGUCACACCACCAACUGAAAGGCCAGUUCUGUUUUAAAGAAAAACAGACGCUCAAUGAAAGUGAAGUGCAUGGUUGUUACAGUUUGAAAACACAAGUAAAUGAAAAUUUAAAAAGAGGCUGGGGAAGGGCAUGGAUAUCCAUCACUUGGAGGGUGAGUAAGAAAAGAUUAAUGAUGUACAAUUCAAGUUACCAGGUCAGGAUGGGAAAUCCUGCUGGUUGUCCAAAAAGGGUGAGAAUUGGUUUGAACUCCAUUGAUGGUUUCUCUCUUCCUUUAGCUUUCCUCCCGUCUCCAUUCUCCACUCCAUGUCUCCCUGCCAUCCAUUCAUAUCUUGGAUCUGGUGCAGAAGUGACAGUCCCUCUUCCUGAGAGUCUCUCUGGAUUAGGAGAAAGCCAAAACAAAGCUCAACACCAACACCACCACCAUCAACAGAAGAAAUCUCCUGAGCCAUUUUAGGCCCCAACAGCAAGCCAAGGAAGGCAAACUGGGAUGGGGGAGCAAGAGGGUAACCCAGGAUGGUGGCUAGAUGGGGUGAGUGGCUUCAGCAGCCAGAGAUCUUCCCUUAGGCCUAGGAGGUGACACAAGCAAUUCUCCCAGGAUCACCUUGAUGAAGCAAUAAAUUAAGGUAACAAGGUAGAAGGUCACCGAAACCUGGUCUCAGCGAGUCCCGGGGCACUCUCUCCUGCCAUGCAAACCAAGGGCCUGGCAGAGAAGUCUCCUCAUUCAUUCAGUUCAGUUCAGUCUCUCAGUUGUGUCCAACUCUUUGCAACCUCAUG
RNAcentral lists this long non-coding RNA (947 nucleotides) under Capra hircus (goat). RNAcentral's name for it is "lncRNA (ENSCHIG00010032464.1)". The record is from RNAcentral. Lineage: Eukaryota; Metazoa; Chordata; Mammalia; Artiodactyla; Bovidae.